CUAGCAUAUCAAUAAGCGGAGGAAAAGAAACCAACAGGGAUUGCCCUAGUAACGGCGAGUGAAGCGGCAACAGCUCAAAUUUGAAAUCUGGCCCUCUUUGGGGGUCCGAGUUGUAAUUUGCAGAGGGUGCUUUGGCAUCGGCGGCGGUCUAAGUUCCUUGGAACAGGACAUCGCAGAGGGUGAGAAUCCCGUACGUGGGCGCCUGCCUUUGCCGUGUAAAGCCCCUUCGACGAGUCGAGUUGUUUGGGAAUGCAGCUCUAAAUGGGAGGUAAAUUUCUUCUAAAGCUAAAUACCGGCCAGAGACCGAUAGCGCACAAGUAGAGUGAUCGAAAGAUGAAAAGUACUUUGGAAAGAGAGUCAAAUAGCACGUGAAAUUGUUGAAAGGGAAGCGCUUGCAGCCAGACGUGCCCGCAGUUGCUCACCCAGGCUCCGGCCUGGGGCAUUCUUCUGCGGGCAGGCCAGCAUCAGUUUGGGCGGUUGGAUAAAGGCCUCUGUCACGUAUCUCCCUUCGGGGUGACCUUAUAGGGGAGGCGCAAUGCAACCAGCCCGGACUGAGGUCCGCGCAUCUGCUAGGAUGCUGGCGUAAUGGCUGUAAGCGGCCCGUCUUGAAACACGGACCAAGGAGUCUAACAUCUAUGCGAGUGUUUGGGUGUCAAGCCCGGGCGCGUAAUGAAAGUGAACGGAGGUGGGAACCCUUUGGGUGCACCAUCGACCGAUCCUGAUGUCUUCGGAUGGAUUUGAGUAAGAGCAUAGCUGUUGGGACCCGAAAGAUGGUGAACUAUGCUUGAAUAGGGUGAAGCCAGAGGAAACUCUGGUGGAGGCUCGCAGCGGUUCUGACGUGCAAAUCGAUCGUCAAAUUUGGGCAUAGGGGCGAAAGACUAAUCGAACCAUCUAGUAGCUGGGUUCCUGCCGA
This 913-nucleotide ribosomal RNA is filed under the name Fusarium sp. Its description in RNAcentral is "partial large subunit ribosomal RNA". It matches the Rfam family "Eukaryotic large subunit ribosomal RNA", at positions 34 to 964 of the family's 3401-position model. Lineage: Eukaryota; Fungi; Ascomycota; Sordariomycetes; Hypocreales; Nectriaceae. The record is from RNAcentral.